UAUUUAAUCACGUGCUUAUACACAAUACGCGUACACCCAUAUCUUUACAUGUAUACACAUUUUUUUUUCUACCUCCUAUUUUGCAGAAUCAUUAUAGUGUCGUUCGAUAUAUACAAAAGGUUGUACAACAUAUUGAAACAAAUUCAAUUCAAACUAGUGAUAGUUGAUGAAACCCAUCAUAUUAGAACAGUACAAUAUGGUAAACAAAGUCAAUUAUCAAAAAAGUUAAAAAAAAAAAUAACAAAAACUAAGCAUGUUAUUCUUCUAAGUGGUACGGCGUCAGUGAAUAGACCUAUAAACAUUUUUCAUCAAAUAAAAUAUAUAAUUAAUAAUAAUAAAUUAUUUUUUAAAAAUAAAUAUGUUUUUGGUGAGGAGUGUUGUAAAAAAUAUAUUAAUAGAGGAGAAAAAAUUUAUGAAGAAAACCUAAGAUCCUGGGAGUUCUCUUUGUUUUUAAAAAAAAUAGUUAUGAUAAGAAGAAACAUAAAUCAAAUUUUUAAAAACAAUUUUAUUAAUUUGAAACGAUACUUUAUAUUUUUACCAAAUGAGUUUUCUUCAACUAAUGCUAUUAAUACGUAUAACAGAACGCAGCAUAACAAAUUGCAGCAGAACACUACAUGUCAACCGCCAACCGAAAAUUGCAUAGAGGACCAUGAUAAGGAUUUACUUAGUAGUGAUAACAAACUUUUUGACAGCAGCGAAGGUAAUGACAUAGAUAUUCAAAGCGAAGAAAAUAACAGCAAAACCAAAACCAAAACCAAAACCAAAACCAAAAGCAAGAACAAAAAGGACAACAUUGACGGCAUAACAAAUAGACAAAAACUAAGCAACCUUUUUCACGUUAAUAUUAAAUCCAAAAAAGAAGAAGAAGGACUAUCAAAAAUUGUAAACGCUCUUGAAUAUAUGGAAACGUAUUUCCCUACGAAGAAAAAAAUUAUUUUCUGUUAUCAUUUAAUAGUAUGCAAAUGUAUAGAAGAACAAUUACUUAAAAUUAUAUCAAAGAAGAAAAAAAAUGAUGGUGAUGGUGAUAGUUAUGGUGAUGGUAAUGGUGAUACAACUAGUACUGUCAUAAACAGAAGUAUCGAUUAUGUAGUAUUAAACGGACGGUUAAACGAAAAAGAGAAACUCGAAAAAAUCAAUUAUUUUAAAAACGUAAGUAACUGCUAUUAUGGAAUAUUAACUAUUUGUUCUGUUACUCAUGGUCUUGAUUUUAGUUUUUGUAAUUUAUGUUUUUUUAUUGAAUUUCCAGUUAAUUUUUUUCAUUUACAACAAUGCGAGGCUCGACUAUUCAGACGGAACCAACGAUUUGACACUUUCGUUUUUUAUUUUUUGCUAAAAAAUGGUUUAGGAAGUGAUGAAAAGACAUGGAAAAGGUUUGUGUUAUGUGCACACAGUACCAGGUCUAUUAUUGAUGGUACAUACUUUGAAGGAAAGGAUUUAUUUUAUGAGAAGUUUAACUAUGAUGUAGUAACAGCCGUUAAUAAUGCAAAACCUAUACAUGAAUAUAAACACGUGACAAAUACAAAUAGCAGUGAUAAAAAGGAAACUGUUAAAUAUGACAAUGAUUAUGAAAAUGUUAAAAAGUUAAAUACAAAUGUAGAAUGCUACAAACAAAACGAUUUGUCAUGCUUAAACAAUAGAUCAAAACAAACACCCUAUAAUAAAAGUUGUGAAAAGCAAUCCGAAAAAAUAUGCACACAAGUAAAGAGAAAAAAAUACUUGUUUGAAAUGAACGUAUUAACUAAUCGGGUACACGUUUAUAUAGGUAAUAAAAAAAAAACCAACUUUUAUAUAAACGAUUUGAAUACUGUGAAAGAGGAAAAACUGAGUAGGAUAAAAAGGUGCGCAUACAAAUUUUUGCAAAAUUACAAUAAAUUAAACACAUAUCAAAAAAAACUAAUUGAAAACAAAAAAUGUGACAUUAAUAUAUCUAUACUUAAUCAUAUUAAUACAAAGAAAACAACAAAUGAAUCCUUAAUUUUUG
Molecule: long non-coding RNA, 1981 nt
Filed under: Piliocolobus tephrosceles (Ugandan red Colobus)
Lineage: Eukaryota; Metazoa; Chordata; Mammalia; Primates; Cercopithecidae
Description: lncRNA (ENSPTEG00000004334.1)
Source: RNAcentral